Molecule: ribosomal RNA, 472 nt
Filed under: uncultured bacterium
Lineage: Bacteria
Description: bacterial SSU rRNA
Rfam family: Bacterial small subunit ribosomal RNA
Source: RNAcentral
GACGAACGCUGGCGGCGUGCCUAACACAUGCAAGUCGAGCGGAGAUAAGCGGAAGGUAACUGAAGCUUAUCUUAGCGGCGGACGGGUGAGUAACACGUGGGCAACCUGCCUUGAAGUGGGGGAUAACACCGGGAAAUCGGUGCUAAUACCGCAUAACAUACACAAACUGCAUGGUAAGUGUAUCAAAGGAGCAAUCCGCUUUAAGAUGGGCCCGCGGCUGAUUAGCUAGUUGGUAAGGUAACGGCUUACCAAGGCGACGAUCAGUAGCCGACCUGAGAGGGUGACCGGCCACACUGGAACUGAGAAACGGUCCAGACUCCUACGGGAGGCAGCAGUGGGGAAUAUUGGGCAAUGGGGGAAACCCUGACCCAGCAACGCCGCGUGAGGGAAGAAGGUUUUCGGAUUGUAAACCUCUGUCCUUGGUGAAGAAAGAAUGACGGUAGCCAAGGAGGAAGCCCCGGCUAACUACGUG